CCACACCAGCACAACAGCCCUAUAAAACCUCUCUCCAUUAAAGAGGCUCUGCUGCCUGACCACCAGCCAGCCAUGGCUGUUGCAGACUGUGAAGAGCCUCCAGUUAAAAAGCCCAGCGCCCCCCUACAGUCUCCUGUGACUAACAAUGACGAAAACAAGAGAGGGGACAAGUGGCGGAAGAAGGAGCAACACAAGACAAUGGAGAACACGA
Lampris incognitus (smalleye Pacific opah) is the source of this 211-nucleotide long non-coding RNA. RefSeq lists it as uncharacterized. The transcript is spliced from 3 exons. NCBI's taxonomy places the organism in Eukaryota, Metazoa, Chordata, Actinopteri, Lampriformes, Lampridae. The record is from RefSeq and is a predicted model, not a curated record.